This 492-nucleotide ribosomal RNA is filed under the name uncultured bacterium. RNAcentral describes it as "partial 16S ribosomal RNA". It matches the Rfam family "Bacterial small subunit ribosomal RNA", at positions 29 to 507 of the family's 1533-position model. The record is from RNAcentral.
AGUGAACGCUGGCGGUAGGCCUAACACAUGCAAGUCGAACGGCAGCACAGUAAGAGCUUGCUCUUACGGGUGGCGAGUGGCGGACGGGUGAGGAAUACAUCGGAAUCUACUUUUUCGUGGGGGAUAACGUAGGGAAACUUACGCUAAUACCUCAUACGACCUACGGGUGAAAGCAGGGGAUCUUCGGACCUUUCGCGAUUGAAUGAGCCGAUGUCGGAUUAGCUAGUUGGCGGGGUAAAGGCCCACCAAGGCGACGAUCCGUAGCUGGUCUGAGAGGAUGAUCAGCCACACUGGAACUGAGACACGGUCCAGACUCCUACGGGAGGCAGCAGUGGGGAAUAUUGGACAAUGGGCGAAAGCCUGAUCCAGCCAUACCGCGUGGGUGAAGAAGGCCUUCGGGUUGUAAAGCUCUUUUGUUGGGAAAGAAAAGCAGCAGGUUAAUACCCCGCUGUUCUGACGGUACCCAAAGAAUAAGCACCGGCUAACUUCGUG